GCUUUAACAUAUCUUUUAUUAUUUGCACUUUCCAGAGUUGAGCAGCUGGCUGAGGGCAUUAUGAAAGACAUAGGAUGCUGUGGCAUUAUGGUCCUGAGUGUCCUUAAAGGAGGUCACAAACUGUGUGCCGACCUCGUAGAACACCUUGAGAACAUCAGCCAGCAUUCAGACAGAUGCGUUUCUACCAAGGUUGAUCUCAUCAGACUGAAGAGUUACAAGGUCCACCGCCGUGCUCCAGUCCACGUCCUCCACAAAUCCUGAUUCAGUGAUCUUUUUAAACUGAAAAGGUAUGUAUGAUAACAAUUUUUGUAAGUUGAAUUUGAUUUUAAUAACCUCCACUUUCACU
RNAcentral lists this long non-coding RNA (346 nucleotides) under Fukomys damarensis (Damara mole-rat). RNAcentral describes it as "lncRNA (ENSFDAG00000025953.1)". Lineage: Eukaryota; Metazoa; Chordata; Mammalia; Rodentia; Bathyergidae. The record is from RNAcentral.